CGGACGGGUGAGUAAUGUCUGGGAAACGUGCCUGAUGGAGGGGGGUAACUACUGGAAACGGUAGCUAAUACCGCAUAACGUCGCAAGACCAAAGAGGGGGACCUUCGGACCUCUUGCCAUCGGAUGUGCCCAGAUGGGAUUAGCUAGUAGGCGGGGUAAAGGCUCACCUAGGCGACGAUCCCUAGCUGGUCUGAGAGGAUGACCAGCCACACUGGAACUGAGACACGGUCCAG
RNAcentral lists this ribosomal RNA (233 nucleotides) under uncultured bacterium. Its description in RNAcentral is "partial 16S ribosomal RNA". It matches the Rfam family "Bacterial small subunit ribosomal RNA", at positions 99 to 334 of the family's 1533-position model. The record is from RNAcentral.